This is a small nucleolar RNA of Sorex fumeus (smoky shrew), 220 nucleotides long. RefSeq annotates it as small nucleolar RNA U3. The transcript has a single exon. NCBI's taxonomy places the organism in Eukaryota, Metazoa, Chordata, Mammalia, Eulipotyphla, Soricidae. The record is from RefSeq and is a predicted model, not a curated record.
CUGAGAAGACUUUCAGGGAUCAUGUCUAUGGUUCAUUACUAGAGAAGUUUCUCUGAUCAUGCAGAGCACCUGAAACCAUGAGGAACCAGAGCAUCCUCUCCUGACAUGAGGCCAGUUUUAGGUGUUGCUUUUGCAACUGCCUUUUACCAUUGAUGAUUGCUCUGCUCUUCCAAGGAAAGGAAAGGGAAGGGGAAGGGGAAGGGGAAGGAGGAGGGAUGGG